Molecule: long non-coding RNA, 2008 nt
Organism: Myotis brandtii (Brandt's bat)
Lineage: Eukaryota; Metazoa; Chordata; Mammalia; Chiroptera; Vespertilionidae
Exons: 2
Source: RefSeq, a predicted model, not a curated record
UGCUAUCCUCCCAUAUGAAAUUGCUGGGAGAGUGAAACAAAUAAAACAGUGGGAGGUUAACAUUUAUAGUUUUACAGAAUACACACCUUCAUAUACAUAGCCAUUAUGUAAAUACAACCAGACAGAACUUCACUUUUCAAAGUAAUAACACCGGAACUUCAGAGACACUGAGGUUCCAGAAAGUUGUCUUUGACUGCUUUGGAGAGGAGAGAAACCUUUUUCUUACUACGUUCUGGCUUUAGCCUCAUUCUCACACACCUUUUGGGUUGACCCUUUUGAGUGAGGUUAAUGAGCAAGUCAAAAACACUGAACAACCCUGUUAGGAUAUCAUUUUAACUAAUUAAACAAGACAUUUAAACAGUGCACAUAAAAUGCAGUUUUUCUAUUACUUACAUGUUAAGGUGAGCCACUUGCCUAUAGAAAAGAGCCCGUAAGCUAAUUAUGGCUACCUAUGAAAAUAAGCAGAGUCCUAUGAUUUAAGCAGUAAUCUGAGAUGAGGAAUAAUUCACCUUUGUGAAGGAAUAGAAGUAGAAUAAAAUAGCAAUUGUAACUCAUUAUGUCCCAAACUUCAAUGGAAGUGAAAGAAAAAUGGUACUUAUAGUAUUUAAGAUAGUUAACUGUAGAAUGUGGACAAUUUAUUAAUCCAUUACUCAUUUAACAGUUCACUGUUGAGCAACUUAUGUAUCGGUUAUUUAAAAAAUUUGUGAAGUAUUUGGCAUUAAAUAUUCAAAAGAUGUGGCCCUGCCUUUAAUAAGCUUAAUUAUGCAAUCAUUAAUAUUUUCAAAACAAAGUCAAUUGUUUUUAAGAAGAUAUACAAUAUCACAUGUGCUUGACAUCACUUAUCUGCUUAUAUAUGGUAUUCUCUUUUCUUUCAAAUCAAAUGUACAGUCCAAAUAAACUACUAAAACAUAGUAAAGUCAAUGUCUAAGUAUAAAAUAUGUUUAUGUGUAAGCCUCUAUGUGUGCACAUAGGAUAUGUAUCACUGUCUAUCAGAAAAUCAGUAAGAUGAUAGCAAGUUUUGCUAUGUUGGACUUGAACACUAUUGCUUGGGAUUUAGAUUAAUUUAUAACCUUUUGAUAUUUGGGUCAAUCACAGCAUAGCAAAGGUGUUUAAUCUGGAAAAAUAAUGUCUGUACAUUUCCAUUUAAGUGUUAUCUAAAUUCGAAUUUAAGGGGAAACAUCUUUACAGAGAUAUUGUUGGAUUUAUCUCCCAAGUAUAUAUGACAAAAUUUUUGAAGUGUUCAUUUGUUCCCAAAUGUGACUGGGUUUGCCUACCCUAAAAGCAUUUACAUUUACACGUGUAUACAGCCACAUACAGUAUACAUACUGUAUAUAAUAUAUAGGGAAAUGUUUAGUAUGCACUUCUUUGAUUUGGAACUCCUUAACAUUUGUAGUGUAGCAGUUCGUGUAAAGUGCACUGUGAUUAUACAAAUCAAAGCACAGUAAAGUCACAGGUCUUGUUAUCUUGCACUAAAAAUGUGUUUACGUAUUUAGCAAGUGUAUGUUUACUUUCUUGCUCUUUUCAAGAAAUUGAAACAAAUAGCUAUUAAGAAAAUUAUAUAAAAUAAUAUGUUUUUUAGUGGAUAAUGGCACUACAUUUUUAAAAGACAGGGUUUUUAAAGGAAACCAUUUACCAUCCAUUCCAAAAUGACAUGUUUACCAUAUCUAAAAAUCUGAAUGUCAUAUUGCAUUUUUCAUAAACUUGUCAGGUAUGUGCCUGAAAAAAAAUGUGCAAAUAAGCAUUAGAUAACAGAUUUCUCUACUCGUGUGUUGUUAGCCAUUUCUAUAUACAUAAUAAUAUAAACAUUGAUGUUUUAAUUUCUCUUAAGUUUUGUACUUGGUUUUUUAGGUAACAUGUAAUUAUAAAUGUACUUUGAUACUACUGAAGUAACCAGAUGUUGUUUAAAAACAAAUUGUUUUCUUUAGUGCAUUGACAAUAUUUUAAAUACUUUUGUGCUUAUUUAUUUGUGCUCCCGUGUAAUUAUAAUAAAAGCAAUAGUUUAAAUUAA